Molecule: long non-coding RNA, 147 nt
Organism: Bufo bufo (common toad)
Lineage: Eukaryota; Metazoa; Chordata; Amphibia; Anura; Bufonidae
Exons: 3
Source: RefSeq, a predicted model, not a curated record
CUGCAGGCUUGGUGGCAGAUGCUUCAGAUUUGGCUUCCUCAGGCUUGGUGGCUGCUGCAGUUUUUGCUGCCAAUGCAGCCCGCCUAUCUUGUUUUUUCUUAAUCUGAAACAAUAAAUUAAGUUGUCAAUAACGCAAUGUUAUCCUGC